CCCGUGUUUGCAAAUCAGCAAAUUUUUUUCAUAUUUCAUCUUCUUUCACUAUAUAAUCAAACAAUAAUUUUAAACAGAUUGAUACGAGCCGCAUUGCUAAUCCUAUAUCUUGACCUAGAACAAACAAGAACGAUGCAAAAACAAUAAAAAUAAAUAAAUAAAUAAUAAAAAAAAAAUUGCUUUCGAACCCAUAAUUUUUUCAAAUUUCGUUAGCUUUUCAUUCCAACAGUAUUCUUAUGAACAAAACCCAGAAAUCAAAACAAUACAUAUGUAGAAACACACGAUAUUAUGACAAUAACGUAAGUGCAUGAGAUAGAAUAGAGAGAUAAGUCGUGAAAAAGGGACCUCAGAGUAAAGAAAUUCAAGUGGUUAAUAUUGUAAUGUCCGGCCGGCAAAAUGCCACCGGAGAAGAAGGGACAGAGUAGUCUAAAAUACAAGAAGGAAAAAUUAGUCUUACCACCUCUUUUCUCUCUCUCUUUCUUUUACGCUGUAAUUUCCUCAGUAUGUUCUUUUCAUAUUUUCUCUCUUUGCCAGUUAUCUAUGGCACCGUUUAGAGAGAGGAACAGAGAGAUAUAUAGAGCGUUUAGAGAGGGCUGGUAUUCUGUGUUCAAAAUCGCCAGCAUGGCUAUAAGUGUUGG
This 638-nucleotide long non-coding RNA is filed under the name Olea europaea subsp. europaea. Lineage: Eukaryota; Viridiplantae; Streptophyta; Magnoliopsida; Lamiales; Oleaceae. The record is from RNAcentral.